Molecule: long non-coding RNA, 256 nt
Filed under: Setaria viridis
Lineage: Eukaryota; Viridiplantae; Streptophyta; Magnoliopsida; Poales; Poaceae
Description: long non-coding RNA (SVIR_LNC006134)
Source: RNAcentral
CGCAACAACGUGCGGCAAUCUAAGAGGAGGUGAACUUGGUGACAGCCUUGGUGCCCUCAGAGACGGCGUGCUUGGCGAGCUCGCCGGGGAGGACGAGGCGCACCGAGGUCUGGAUCUCCCGGGAGGUGAUGGUGGGCUUCUUGUUGUAGCGCGCGAGGCGGGCGGCCUCCUGGGCGAGCUUCUCGAAGAUGUCGUUGAUGAACGAGUUCAUGAUGGACAUGGCCUUGGAGGAGAUACCAAUGUCCGGGUGCACCUG